This 253-nucleotide ribosomal RNA is filed under the name uncultured bacterium. Its description in RNAcentral is "partial 16S ribosomal RNA". It matches the Rfam family "Bacterial small subunit ribosomal RNA", at positions 524 to 776 of the family's 1533-position model. The record is from RNAcentral.
UACGGAGGGUGCGAGCGUUAAUCGGAAUUACUGGGCGUAAAGCGCACGUAGGCGGUUAUGUAAGUUGGAUGUGAAAGUCCCGGGCUUAACCUGGGGAUUGCAUCCAAAACUACAUGACUAGAGUAGGGUAGAGGGAGGUAGAAUUUCCGGUGUAGCGGUGAAAUGCGUAGAGAUCGGAAGGAAUACCAGUGGCGAAGGCGGCCUCCUGGAUUCAUACUGACGCUGAGGUGCGAAAGCAUGGGGAGCAAACAGG